CGAAGGUGGCGAGCGUUACUCGGAAUUACUAGGUGUAAAGCGUGGGCAGGUGGUUUGGUAAGUCUGCUGUGAAAGCUCCUGGCUUAACUGGGAGAGGCCAGUGGAUACUGCCAGGCUUGAAUAUGGGAGAGGUGACUGGGAUUCCUGGUGUAGCGGUGAAAUGCGUAGAGAUCAGGAGGAACAUCGAUGGCGAAAGCAGGUCACUGGACCAUUAUUGACACUCAUCCACGAAAGCUGGGGGAUCAAACAGGAUUAGAUACCCUGGUAGUCCCAGCCGUAAACGAUGCUCAUUAGGUGUGGGAGGUAUCGACCCCUUCCGCGCCGACGCUAACGCAUUAAAUGAGCCACCUGGGGAGUACGGCCGCAAGGUUG
Molecule: ribosomal RNA, 372 nt
Filed under: uncultured organism
Description: bacterial SSU rRNA
Rfam family: Bacterial small subunit ribosomal RNA
Source: RNAcentral